This 708-nucleotide ribosomal RNA is filed under the name uncultured bacterium. RNAcentral's name for it is "bacterial SSU rRNA". It matches the Rfam family "Bacterial small subunit ribosomal RNA", at positions 60 to 781 of the family's 1533-position model. The record is from RNAcentral.
AGUCGAACGAGCGAGAGAGAGCUUGCUUUCUCGAGCGAGUGGCGAACGGGUGAGUAACGCGUGAGGAACCUGCCUCAAAGAGGGGGACAACAGUUGGAAACGACUGCUAAUACCGCAUAAGCCCACGGUGUCGCAUGGCACAGAGGGAAAAGGAGCAAUCCGCUUUGAGAUGGCCUCGCGUCCGAUUAGCUAGUUGGUGAGGUAAUGGCCCACCAAGGCGACGAUCGGUAGCCGGACUGAGAGGUUGAACGGCCACAUUGGGACUGAGACACGGCCCAGACUCCUACGGGAGGCAGCAGUGGGGAAUAUUGCACAAUGGGGGAAACCCUGAUGCAGCGACGCCGCGUGGAGGAAGAAGGUCUUCGGAUUGUAAACUCCUGUUGUUGGGGAAGAUAAUGACGGUACCCAACAAGGAAGUGACGGCUAACUACGUGCCAGCAGCCGCGGUAAAACGUAGGUCACAAGCGUUGUCCGGAAUUACUGGGUGUAAAGGGAGCGCAGGCGGGAAGACAAGUUGGAAGUGAAAUCUAUGGGCUCAACCCAUAAACUGCUUUCAAAACUGUUUUUCUUGAGUAGUGCAGAGGUAGGCGGAAUUCCCGGUGUAGCGGUGGAAUGCGUAGAUAUCGGGAGGAACACCAGUGGCGAAGGCGGCCUACUGGGCACCAACUGACGCUGAGGCUCGAAAGUGUGGGUAGCAAACAGGAUUAG